RNAcentral lists this long non-coding RNA (2295 nucleotides) under Vigna radiata. RNAcentral's name for it is "long non-coding RNA (VRAD_LNC001630)". Lineage: Eukaryota; Viridiplantae; Streptophyta; Magnoliopsida; Fabales; Fabaceae. The record is from RNAcentral.
GAAGCAUCAGAUGAUAGUGUAUCAAUAUAUAAAUAUAUAUACAGUCAUCCAAAAAUAAAGUAUUUCAAAAGCUUUACCCAAUUAUAAAGUCUUUCAAAAUACAUGGUAAAGGAAGAUCAAUAGAAAACUAAGGGUAAAAACUGCAAACUAAGAAGCUAUUGAAUACUAGGUGUUGGUUCCUCANUGUCUAGUGCUUGCUCUAAGGGAGUAUCAUCUGCUGCAUCUGCUCACAUCCAUANCAGGAUGAUCAUCGCAAGAGGAAAGACCAGGAACAUACAAAACAAACAACAUACAAGUGCAAGGGUGAGCUAAGUUGAAAAGCAUGCAAGAUAAGUCCAAAUUCAAACUAACAUAUACUUAACAGUAUGCAUACAGGCAAGCAAAAUAGACAUUCUAUCAGAUUAUACAUUAAAUGGAAUUAACUAUCAUGUUAUACAAUCACACACACAACAUGUAAAGACCAUAACACAAUACAAACUAAGACCGAACACAAUUUAUUGAUACUAAUGACUGACCAUGUGAUUUAACCGUCCGGACUAGUAUGAAAUGUCGAGUUCCAGGGGUUUGUGCACUUGUGGUGGCCCUACUGCUUUGCAAAGCCAUUGCCGAGGGGUUUCACCCGACCACACACAAGUGUAAGUCCAACCAAACUCAUCUUGGCCCAUAUAAAAUGGAGACACCCAAGACUAGGACCUCCUCCUAUUCUCACCACAUGACUCAUCACUCUCUAAUUGAGCAUGAAUGAUCAUUAGAAUGUCAAGGUAAACCCCAUCCUGAACUCCGACCAUUCAUACGGUCAAUCACGACAAACUACAGUGGCACCACCAUGUAACCUCCCUUGAGGAUCAUGGAAUUACGUCCAAUAACCAUACUUUGUACAUACAAGCUUUCCAACCAUAAUUCACAACGUAAUACUUCAUACUCUUAACCAUGUUGCACAAACAUCCUUUAGUUAUGUUAUCAAAACAACUCAAACAUUACAUACUUUCACAAAACAUCACUUAUUAACACAAAUAACUUUAUAAUACUAAUUACCAAUAUUUAAGUAAUUCAAAUGGCUUGGAGACCCUCACAAAUGGAUCCGGAAGGGUAAAAAACCCUCAGAACGACCUAAAGAACGUCCAAAACGGACAUUUGGAACUCUCAAAACGUCAAAAACAUCAAAAAUACACAUUCUGUCGCAGAAAAUUCGCUGAGCGCACACCCUGUGGUGCGCUGAGCGAAUUUUCUCUGCUAAAAAUCAUUCGCAGAGCGCACAGAGUGCGCUGUGCGACUCUGUAUAAUCUGCAGAGCGAAUUUCUGCAGAUUUUAGGAACUCACACACCCAGAAUUUGUUCUAGGCCAAAUUAUGAACUUUGGAUGAUCCUAACUCGACCUCUAUGAUGUUUUAGACUUGUCUAGAUGUUUCUAAUCUAUCCUAACACAAUUCUCUAGCUGAUAUGCAUGGAUUUACCUCCUAAAAUUUCCAUUUCAUGAACCUAAGGGUCCAAUUCUGAUUUUACCAAUUCCAAGUUAAUUCAGACCAAUUUGGCACUUGUUAUAAGUCAUAAGUGACUUGUCUAAAGGUUCUAAANUGACCAAAACAGUAUAUCCUACCAGAUUCAAAUUAUAGCUACUCUAGUUCCUUUAAUUAAGCCUAAAAUGCCUAAAUCACUAAAUCUUUUACCUAUUAUUCUAGACAGCUGAAUUCUAUUCAUCAUUGUUCAAAAUUUUGCAUUCCAUCUAUUAUAUCCAAUCUAAUACACAAUCAUUCAUCAUGAAUCAAAGGUACAUUUCUCAUCCCACAGUACAAACAGUUUCAUAUACAUGAACGGAGUUCAAACACCACAAUCGGAAAAUAACCUCUUUACACACAUGCAGUAAAAUUUCACAUAACUAUGAUACAUUUCUACAAUCAAACAAUUGCAAUACACUCAAUACUAGCUUCCCUUACCUUGAGAUGAAGAAAUUCUAGCUCCCAAAGACAAAUUGCCGCACCGAAUAACCCGGAAGACCCUAGUAUCUCCCACAGAUCAGUAAUUGAAACCAAGAAACAAAUUCAGAACUUAGAUGAGGCUGGAAUUUUGGGGAAAAACCCAAAUGGAUCACAUGCAAUCAGAUUAUUUGCAUGUUUGCAGUUUUGAGAUGAACAUGAGAAGAGAAUCCACUUACCGGUCGGAUGGAAGGAAUUGACCGGUGGAAUUGGGAACCCUUUGCGUCGGGAUUUCAGGAACAACACCUAGUCAAUUUUAUACGGGAUCAGUGAGAGGAAAAUUUGAGAAAGAAGGUUGAGGGAAAUGAAGGAGUUGAGAACUG